GCGGCGGUAGUUCAGUGGCAGAAUGUCUCCCUUCCAAGGAGAAGAUCGCCGGUUCGAAACCGGUCCGCCGCUCCA
Molecule: transfer RNA, 75 nt
Filed under: candidate division WWE3 bacterium RIFCSPHIGHO2_01_FULL_43_9
Lineage: Bacteria; candidate division WWE3
Description: tRNA-Gly
Rfam family: tRNA
About the family: Transfer RNA (tRNA) molecules are approximately 80 nucleotides in length. Their secondary structure includes four short double-helical elements and three loops (D, anti-codon, and T loops). Further hydrogen bonds mediate the characteristic L-shaped molecular structure. tRNAs have two regions of fundamental functional importance: the anti-codon, which is responsible for specific mRNA codon recognition, and the 3' end, to which the tRNAs corresponding amino acid is attached (by aminoacyl-tRNA synthetases). tRNAs cope with the degeneracy of the genetic code in two manners: having more than one tRNA (with a specific anti-codon) for a particular amino acid; and 'wobble' base-pairing, i.e. permitting non-standard base-pairing at the 3rd anti-codon position.
Source: RNAcentral